UGAGCAAUCUGCCCUUCUCAUCGGAAUAAGCGUUGGAAACGACGUCUAAUGCCGAAUACGACCUCCUUUCGCAUGAUCGGAGGUGGAAAGCUCCGGCGGAGAAGGAUGAGCUCGCGGCCUAUCAGCUAGUUGGUGUGGGUAAUGGCCCACAAGGCGACGACGGGUANCCGGCCUGAGAGGGUGACCCGGCCACACGUGGGACUGAGACACGGCCCAGACCUCCGUACGGGAGCAG
This 235-nucleotide ribosomal RNA is filed under the name uncultured bacterium. RNAcentral describes it as "partial 16S ribosomal RNA". It matches the Rfam family "Bacterial small subunit ribosomal RNA", at positions 118 to 347 of the family's 1533-position model. The record is from RNAcentral.